GCGGGAGGCCCCUGGGAGGGGCCCCGGGGCCCGGCCGCGCCGGGCUCCCGCCGGAGGGACGCCCCCGAAACUCUUGCUGUACGUCAGUGGCACGUCCGAGUCAAACAAAACAAACAAAUCAAAACUUUCAACAACGGAUCUCUUGGUUCUGGCAUCGAUGAAGAACGCAGCGAAAUGCGAUAAGUAAUGUGAAUUGCAGAAUUCAGUGAAUCAUCGAAUCUUUGAACGCACAUUGCGCCCGCCAGCAUUCUGGCGGGCAUGCCUGUUCGAGCGUCAUUUCAACCCCUCGGGCCCUGGUGCCCGGCGUCGGGGCGUUCCCCUCACCCGGGAAGCCCCCAGAGACAGUGGCGGACCCGCCGCGGCUCCGAGCGCAGUAGUACAACUUUCUCGCUCUGGAGGUCCGCGGGGGGCUCCCGGCCGUAAAACCCGGCCCUCACGGGCCAUCUCCACAAGGUUGACCUCGGAUCAGGUAGGAAUA
RNAcentral lists this ribosomal RNA (478 nucleotides) under fungal sp. RNAcentral describes it as "eukaryotic LSU rRNA". The stretch from base 123 to 276 matches the Rfam family "5.8S ribosomal RNA". The record is from RNAcentral. Lineage: Eukaryota; Fungi.